GACGAACGCUGGCGGCGUGCUUAACACAUGCAAGUCGAACGGAAAGGCCCUGCUUUUGUGGGGUGCUCGAGUGGCGAACGGGUGAGUAACACGUGAGUAACCUGCCCUUGACUUUGGGAUAACUUCAGGAAACUGGGGCUAAUACCGGAUAGGAGCUCCUGCUGCAUGGUGGGGGUUGGAAAGUUUCGGCGGUUGGGGAUGGACUCGCGACUUAUCAGCUUGUUGGUGGGGUAGUGGCUUACCAAGGCUUUGACGGGUAGCCGGCCUGAGAGGGUGACCGGCCACAUUGGGACUGAGAUACGGCCCAGACUCCUACGGGAGGCAGCAGUGGGGAAUAUUGCACAAUGGGCGGAAGCCUGAUGCAGCAACGCCGCGUGCGGGAUGAUGGCCUUCGGGUUGUAAACCGCUUUCGCCUGUGACGAAGCGUGAGUGACGGUAAUGGGUAAAGAAGCACCGGCUAACUACGUG
This 468-nucleotide ribosomal RNA is filed under the name uncultured bacterium. RNAcentral's name for it is "partial 16S ribosomal RNA". It matches the Rfam family "Bacterial small subunit ribosomal RNA", at positions 28 to 507 of the family's 1533-position model. The record is from RNAcentral.